Molecule: long non-coding RNA, 844 nt
Organism: Capsicum annuum
Lineage: Eukaryota; Viridiplantae; Streptophyta; Magnoliopsida; Solanales; Solanaceae
Exons: 2
Source: RefSeq, a predicted model, not a curated record
CAUACUAGUCACUUCUCACUUUUCAUCAACUAUAUUUGGAGUACUAGUACUACUACUUUUGCUAGCUCUAAAAUUUUCAGUACAAAUUAAAUGGGAUCACUGUCAGAGUACAGAUCUGAAAACUUCCAUUGAAGAAUUGGUCAAGUGGUUGUUGAUGAUGAAGAAUCUAGAGGCCAAAUUAGACAAGGAGGUGAUGAAUUUGUAGCAAGCCCACAAGAACAUCUUGGUCUUGAUGCCAAGACAAUAAGUACUUUGCCUAUUUUCAUGUUCAAGUUAUCUUCUUUAAAAAAUAAUAAUGUGAAGAACUUGAAUAAUAGUUACAUGGAAAGUGAGUGCUCAAUAUGUUUGGGAUGUUACGAAGAUGAAGAGAUUGUUAAAGUCAUGCCUAAAUGUCAACAUGGCUUUCAUUCACCUUGCCUUGAUAAGUGGCUUGGUAAUUGUUCAACUUGUCCUCUUUGUAGAUCCUCUUGUUGACUCUACUUGCUGGCUGUGUCGCUCUAAUUGCAUGAUAAGUCUACAGUUGCAAUUCAAGGUUUUUUGCGCAAUCGUCGCGUUGAAGAUAUAAUUAAUUAUUAGAGUAGUUGUCAGAAGUCUAGCGUUUAGGCUGUCUCACCGUCCCUCCUUAUCAAAAGAAUUUUCACGUGUUGAAUCAAUGACAAUGAUUCAGGUCCACACAUAAAGAGGCGUGUUGAAGACAUACAUGAUUAUUGAAUAAAUACAAAUGUGUUGGCUCCCUCUAGCUAGCACAUAAGCCUUAAAUGUACUUCAAUUUAAGUUAUUUGUAGUAACGAUAUAUAAUUUUCUAGUAUUAUAUAUAAUCAGCAAAUUUAAUUUUAACCCACGA